This 172-nucleotide ribosomal RNA is filed under the name uncultured bacterium. RNAcentral describes it as "partial 16S ribosomal RNA". It matches the Rfam family "Bacterial small subunit ribosomal RNA", at positions 1328 to 1500 of the family's 1533-position model. The record is from RNAcentral.
GGAAUCGCUGUAAUCGCGAAUCAGAAUGUCGCGGUGAAUACGUUCCCGGGUCUUGUACACACCGCCCGUCACACCACGAGAGUUUACAACACCCGAAGUCAGUGGCCUAACCGCAAGGAGGGAGCUGCCUAAGGUGGGGUAGAUGAUUGGGGUNAAGUCGUAACAAGGUAGC